GGUCAUUUCCAGCUCUGGUUUUAGCAUGCUGUAAUAAGACUGGUCAGAUUGGGCUUUUUUCAGAGGUGGGAAAGAGAUGAGGCAUUGAUUUCGGGUUUCAAAUUAAACAAUAGAACAAGAACCUUUGUGCUCCCUGUGUAUAUCCAAAUGAUCUGGCUAAACAAGUUUAAAGUGUUAAUCUCUUCGGUCUUUAGUGCCAACAGAGGUCAGUGAAGCAGCGAGGUGAGUUCUUGCAAACCCAUUUACUGCAGACACCAAGAUGCAAUUUCAACAGAAAUCCCAAAUGCAGGGGCUUUACUGAAGGUGUGGCAUCCACUACGGAGAUCCAGCCUGGCUUUUAGACCCUCCUAAUGAAACUUAGGAGGAAACCCCUCACGACCAUUCCUUGGGCAUACAGCAUCAUUAUGGCAACACCACGAGGCCGUUUGCUCUUUCGUUUAAGCCGAAGCACAUCGGAGCACCCAGUUAGGAGGAAGCUGCUUUAACUUGGAAGAUGCUCCGGGAGCUAUUCCCCUAGGAAAAGCAGUUAACGAGGAACAACCAGUAAACCAAGGCUGCUUCCUUGGCUUGAGACACCGACUGCAGCCUCGGACCAGUUAAUUUGACACAGCACAGCACACUCAGAAGCCCUGAAGAUCCCAACGCAAGCCGGGCAAGAGCAGCAAGAGGGGGGCUUACUGGCCCGUUGGAAGGCGAACUACAACCUCACGCAUCAGCAAAACUCCAAACAGGAAGCAAGAGCGUGCGGACAACGCCUAGAGGAUGCAGCUGAACAGCUCGAUGACAACGGGAGCCGAGGCGUCAUAUGUGUACCGCCAGGCCACCUGGACGCGUUCGGGUCGUUGAGGUUUCAAAGGCAGAAUUUCAAAAUAAAAGCUUUUAAGCCUUCCACUUAGAGUAUUGAAGACAGUGGGACAAGUCUGGGGAGCUGUCAAGGUGGUAAUAGUUGCAAGAUGCUCUGAAGUACCCCUGCAUCCUUUUCUGAAAGCCACCAGUAAGACCUAAUUAGCUGGGAGCUGGAGAAGACUGAGGACAUGGCGAGGACUUCCAUCAGAGCAUCCAUGAGGAUGAAAAUAGCUCGAUGCAGCUCACAGCCUGUGAGUUUAAGAAAAGAACCUGAAUCAUUCCCAGGAAAACAAACUCUGCCAGUAGGACUUCGGCAUUGAUUAAUGGCCUGUCACACAGAGUGAUGUACAAUUGUCACAAUCGUAGCAUGUGCUGCAGUCUUCUCUCUGGGCUGUGGCUUGAGCACACAGGCCACUACCUUGAUCCCAUAGAAGACUCCAUCUGUAGAAGCACUAAGAACACGAUUUGCCACAUUUCUGAAUCAGGUCCACAUGUCCAUGUGUAUCUGUAGAGCUCUGAAAGGUGGAGGGCAACAGCUGCUUAUCUUCUUUGAAUUAUACCAUCAAAGAUUAAAACAGUGUCUUGUAGAUCUGUUACUAAAAAUCUGGUAAAGAUUUUCUCCCCUCCCCCAAGACACUUAAAAAUAAAAACAAAAAAAAAAAAAAACUUUUUUUCCUAUGGAAAGUUGAUAUGAAAAGGAAAUGUUUGAUUUAAUUUACAUUGUCUUUGGGUUUGGGACAUUUUUUAGGCUGGAAAUUUGAAUUCCAAAAGUUUGUGCAAAAUAAGCUACUUCUGCUUAUUUUGCUCUUGCUGUUGCAGAGGCUCAAGAGAAUGUACUGCUCGGGUCUCACGCUUCCCUUUUCCUCCAUAGGAUAAGUUCCUUGAUCUUCUGUCUUGGAGAGGAGAAGUGGUGCACAGAGCCCACAUCUGUAUUGACCUUCCUACUUUCCUGUCUCUUUUCUCUCUCCGUUAUCAAGCAUUCUGCUUGGUUUAAAAUCCACGUUCUCCUACUAAAGCAUCAGGGUAAAUAAAACAGAAUUGAGUUUUAUAAAUGCAUAACAAUCUAGCAGCCUAGUAAAAUACAUUUUUUCCUAUAGUGUGAAUAAUUCAGAAGAAUCAAAGAAGUUCUGAACUAAACUCAGUAAGCUGCUGAGCAAUAUUAGAUUUGGAAGGCACAGCAGAAAUUCAUCAGUUGUGCCCUGAAAGAGCUAAUAUGAAGAAAUGUUGGAGUAGAAUAAAUAUUGCGCUUUAUAUGAAGAAAAAAAAAAUGUUGUUAGUAUCACAUAAUAUAAGUCACCAUUUUAUGCAUCUUUAUUUUUCUCUGGUACAACCAAUACGCACCAAAUCUACCUUGGACAGCAUAAGCAGGAAAUGAACUCUCGCUCUCUUUCUCAUUAUAUAUUCACCAAGAGGAAAAAAUAAAAACCCAGUUCCAGCCUCCUCUUACAUCUUUAGAGCUACAGUUAGUUACAUGUUUUUAAAUGUCUUUGUGUUUAGAUGAAGAAAGUUGGGUGAUUUGAGGAAUGUAAAACAAGAGUUGAGGUUUCCUUUAAGCCUAUCACUGUAGUGAAAGAAGGACAAUGAGUCAUGUUAGCCAGCUACAGUUUAUUACUCAGCAAUAGAUUUUCUGCUUUGGGCAGGCUUAACUCCAGACUGUGUUGCUACUACCGGAUCAAACAGGGCUGCAAGAAAGUUCUCCAGUGCUGAGGCCAACUGGCACUGUAACAGUCCAUGUCCAAACUGUUAAAUUCUCUUGGCAUCCGGAAUAAGGGAUGCAUGCAAACUGGUGUUUGAGUAGUUGCUGGCCUGUGUUAAUUUCCAGAUCAGCUCUGGAAACUUUUGGAGAGUGAUAAUUGGCUUGGGUCAGGGGUCUAUCUCUUCUGUAGACUCAAAGCUCCAAGGUCCAGGAACGUUUCCUCAGGUCACUGAUAACUACUGGCAUAUACAUAGCCUAUAGACUAUGGAGCAAUCCAUGUUUUCACCCAUGAGGUGAAAACAGUCACAGUCUGAUCCAGUCAUUAUUUGGAUUAUGUCCAGGCAUAUGAGGUGGCACAGAAUUUAGGGGAUAAUGGCUCGGGACAGUAAAUCAAAUUUUGUCACAGACAAUGCAAACACCAUACUUCAAAAGAUAAUUUCUCUCACUAUGCUUUUGCAUAUUUCUUUGUUCCAGAGUUUCUGAUUACUUUCUAGAAUAUGCCUGAACACAAAAGCAGAGCAGAAAUAGAAGAAUGCUAGUUAGUCAUGAAACCAGAAGUAGAGCAUCCAGAGCAGUCAUUUGAGAGAUCCCAAGGAACAUCCAGGUUCACUCAAUGGAAAAUAAAUAAAUAAAUAAAUAAAUAAAUAAAUAAAUAAAU
Molecule: long non-coding RNA, 3200 nt
Organism: Anas platyrhynchos (mallard)
Lineage: Eukaryota; Metazoa; Chordata; Aves; Anseriformes; Anatidae
Source: RefSeq, a predicted model, not a curated record